RNAcentral lists this ribosomal RNA (497 nucleotides) under uncultured bacterium. Its description in RNAcentral is "partial 16S ribosomal RNA". It matches the Rfam family "Bacterial small subunit ribosomal RNA", at positions 28 to 507 of the family's 1533-position model. The record is from RNAcentral.
GAUGAACGCUGGCGGCGUGCCUAAUACAUGCAAGUCGAGCGAACGGACGAGAAGCUUGCUUCUCUGAUGUUAGCGGCGGACGGGUGAGUAACACGUGGAUAACCUACCUAUAAGACUGGGAUAACUUCGGGAAACCGGAGCUAGUACCGGAUAAUAUUUUGAACCGCAUGGUUCAAAAGUGAAAGACGGUCUUGCUGUCACUUAUAGAUGGAUCCGCGCUGCAUUAGCUAGUUGGUAAGGUAACGGCUUACCAAGGCAACGAUGCAUAGCCGACCUGAGAGGGUGAUCGGCCACACUGGAACUGAGACACGGUCCAGACUCCUACGGGAGGCAGCAGUAGGGAAUCUUCCGCAAUGGGCGAAAGCCUGACGGAGCAACGCCGCGUGAGUGAUGAAGGUCUUCGGAUCGUAAACCUCUGUUAUUAGGGAAGAACAUAUGUGUAAGUAACUGUGCACAUCUUGACGGUACCUAAUCAGAAAGCCACGGCUAACUACGUG